RNAcentral lists this ribosomal RNA (1342 nucleotides) under uncultured bacterium. RNAcentral's name for it is "16S ribosomal RNA". It matches the Rfam family "Bacterial small subunit ribosomal RNA", at positions 28 to 1378 of the family's 1533-position model. The record is from RNAcentral.
GACGAACGCUGGCGGCGUGCUUAACACAUGCAAGUCGAACGGAAAGGCCCUGCUUUUGUGGGGUGCUCGAGUGGCGAACGGGUGAGUAACACGUGAGUAACCUGCCCUUGACUUUGGGAUAACUUCAGGAAACUGGGGCUAAUACCGGAUAGGAGCUCCUGCUGCAUGGUGGGGGUUGGAAAGUUUCGGCGGUUGGGGAUGGACUCGCGGCUUAUCAGCUUGUUGGUGGGGUAGUGGCUUACCAAGGCUUUGACGGGUAGCCGGCCUGAGAGGGUGACCGGCCACAUUGGGACUGAGAUACGGCCCAGACUCCUACGGGAGGCAGCAGUGGGGAAUACUGCACAAUGGGCGGAAGCCUGAUGCAGCAACGCCGCGUGCGGGAUGACGGCCUUCGGGUUGUAAACCGCUUUCGCCUGUGACGAAGCGUGAGUGACGGUAAUGGGCAAAGAAGCACCGGCUAACUACGUGCCAGCAGCCGCGGUGAUACGUAGGGUGCGAGCGUUGUCCGGAUUUUAUGGGCGUAAGGGCUCGUAGGUGGUUGAUCGCGUCGGAAGUGUAAUCUUGGGGCUUAACCCUGAGCGUGCUUUCGAUACGGGUUGACUUGAGGAAGGUAGGGGAGAAUGGAAUUCCUGGUGGAGCGGUGGAAUGCGCAGAUAUCAGGAGGAACACCAGUGGCGAAGGCGGUUCUCUGGGCCUUUCCUGACGCUGAGGAGCGAAAGCGUGGGGAGCGAACAGGCUUAGAUACCCUGGUAGUCCACGCUGUAAACGGUGGGUACUAGGUGUGGGGUCCAUUCCACGGGUUCCGCGCCGUAGCUAACGCUUUAAGUACCCCGCCUGGGGAGUACGGCCGCAAGGCUAAAACUCAAAGGAAUUGACGGGGCCCCGCACAAGCGGCGGAGCAUGCGGAUUAAUUCGAUGCAACGCGUAGAACCUUACCUGGGUUUGACAUGGAUCGGGAGUGCUCAGAGAUGGGUGUGCCUCUUUUGGGGUCGGUUCACAGGUGGUGCAUGGCUGUCGUCAGCUCGUGUCGUGAGAUGUUGGGUUAAGUCCCGCAACGAGCGCAACCCUUGUUCACUGUUGCCAGCACGUUAUGGUGGGGACUCAGUGGAGACCGCCGGGGUCAACUCGGAGGAAGGUGGGGAUGACGUCAAGUCAUCAUGCCCCUUAUGUCCAGGGCUUCACGCAUGCUACAAUGGCUGGUACAGAGAGUGGCGAGCCUGUGAGGGUGAGCGAAUCUCGGAAAGCCGGUCUCAGUUCGGAUUGGGGUCUGCAACUCGACCUCAUGAAGUCGGAGUCGCUAGUAAUCGCAGAUCAGCAACGCUGCGGUGAAUACGUUCCCGGG